This 876-nucleotide ribosomal RNA is filed under the name uncultured Planctomycetota bacterium. RNAcentral's name for it is "bacterial SSU rRNA". It matches the Rfam family "Bacterial small subunit ribosomal RNA", at positions 31 to 943 of the family's 1533-position model. Lineage: Bacteria; Pseudomonadati; Planctomycetota. The record is from RNAcentral.
GAACGCUGGCGGCAUGGCUAAAACAUGCAAGUCGAAGGAGAAGCCCCUUCGGGGGUGGACACUGGCGAAAGGGCGAGGAAUACAUUCGAACGUGCCCCAAGGUGGGGGAUAGCGUCGGGAAACCGGCAGUAAUACCCCAUGUGCUCUUCGGAGGAAAGCUUCGGCGCCUCGGGAGCGGCGAAUGUCCUAUCAGGUUGUUGGUGAGGUAACGGCUCACCAAGCCAAAGACGGGUAGCGGGUGUGAGAGCAUGACCCGCCGCAUCGGAACUGAGACACUGUCCGGACUCCUACGGGAGGCUGCAGUAACGAAUCUUCCGCAAUGCACGAAAGUGUGGCGGAGCAAUGCCGCGUGUGGGACGAAGCGGUUACGCCGUGUAAACCACUGUCAGGUUCUAGGAAGAACUGACCAGAACCAGAGGAAGGGCCGGCUAAUCUCGUGCCAGCAGCCGCGGUAAGACGAGAGGCCCGAGCGUUGAGCGGAAUCACUGGGCUUAAAGGGUGCGUAGGCGGAUUGGAAGGUGCUUUGUGAAAGCCCACGGCUCAACCGUGGAAUUGCAGAGCAAACCACCAGUCUUGAGGCAGGUAGAGGUCGUCGGAACGUUGGGUGGAGCGGUGAAAUGCGUAGAGAUCCAACGGAACGCCAAAGGUGAAGACAGGCGACUGGGCCUAGCCUGACGCUGAGGCACGAAAGCGUGGGGAGCAAACAGGAUUAGAUACCCUGGUAGUCCACGCCGUANACGAUGUGCACUGGGUCGGUGCGGUUCUAACGCCGUGCCGGCCGUAGAGAAAUUCUUAAGUGCACCGCCUGGGGAGUACGGUCGCAAGGCUAAUACUCAAGGGAAUUGACGGGGGCUCACACAAGCGGUGGAGCAUGUU